RNAcentral lists this long non-coding RNA (1392 nucleotides) under Oncorhynchus kisutch (coho salmon). Its description in RNAcentral is "lncRNA (ENSOKIG00005035835.1)". Lineage: Eukaryota; Metazoa; Chordata; Actinopteri; Salmoniformes; Salmonidae. The record is from RNAcentral.
CCCAACACACUCACUCUAUACCCCCCUGCUUAGUCAGAUACUUGCCUCCCUAUAACGAGACCAAGCUGUAUCAGGCCUGGCUGGGCGAGGCAGGCAUCAUGCCAGCUGCUCUCCCUGGCGCGACGGGAAACCUCACGUCUCAAAGACACUGCCGCAGCCAAGAUUGGCACGCUGCAAAGCAAAACUGUAAGACAAAUUAUUUUCCCUCCUCUUGCUCGCUCCCCGAUCCCCCUCUUUUAAUGUUUCUCAUCAUUGUUAUUCUGUUGUGCCUCCAGUCGUGCUCAGCAACCGCCCAGCAGGCCAAUUGUUCUGCUCUCUCCAGCCAGGCACGACUUAGGGAAGGGCCUAGAAAAACACUCUGUCCCGUUCACACAUAGAACAUUGUUGAGUAGAAUAGGAUAGAAUACAAUCUCAGGAUUCUAUUGUCCACUGUUAUCUCCACCACACCACUCCACCUCCUCCCAUCCCCACCACACCUCUCCACCUCCUCCCAUCCCCACCAAACCUCUCCACCUCCUCCCAUCCCCACCACACCUCUCCACCUCCUCCCAUUCCCCCAACACACCUCUCCACCUCCUCCCAUCCCCACCACACCUCUCUACCUCCUCCCAUCCCCACCACACCUCUCCACCUCCCAUCCCCACCACACCUCUCCACCUCCUCCCAUCCACACCUCUCCACCUCCUCCCAUCCCCACCACACCUCUCCACCUCCUCCCAUCCCCACCACACCUCUCCACCUCCUCCCAUUCCCCCAACACACCUCUCCACCUCCUCCCAUCCCCACCACACCUCUCCACCUCCUCCCAUCCCCAUCCCUUAACACCUCUCAACUCCUCCCAUCCCCACCAAACCUCUCCACCUCCUCCCAUCCCCACCACACCUCUCCACCUCCUCCCAUCCCCACCACACCUCUCCACCUCCUCCCAUCCCCGCCACACCUCUCCACCUCCUCCCAUCCCCACCACACCUCUCCACCUCCUCCCAUCCCCAUCCCUUAACACCUCUCAACCUCCUUCCAUCCCCACCAAACCUCUCCACCUCCUCCCAUCCCCACCACACCUCUCCACCUCCUCCCAUCCCCACCACACCUCUCCACCUCCUCCCAUCCCCGCCACACCUCUCCACCUCCUCCCAUCCCCACCACACCUCUCCACCUCCUCCCAUCCCCACCACACCUCUCCACCUCCUCCCAUCCCCACCACACCUCUCCACCUCCUCCCAUCCCCACCACACCUCUCCACCUCCCAUCCCCACCACACCUCUCCACCUCCUCCCAUCCACACCUCUCCACCUCCUCCCAUCCCCACCACACCUCUCUACCUCCUCCCAUCCCCGCCACACCUCUCCACCUCCUCCCAUCCCACCACACCUCCCCAACUCCUCCCAUCCC